CAAUAGCGUAUAUUAAAGCUGUUGCGGUUAAAAAGCUCGUAGUUGGAUUUCUGUCAAGGACAACUGGUCCGCCCUCCGGGUGAGCACAUAGUUUGGUCUUGGCAUCUUGCUGGAAACUGUUGCUGCGCUUGGUUGUGUGGUGCAGCUUUCAGCACUUUCACUUUGAGGAAAUUGGAGUGUUUCAAGCAGGCACAUGCCUUUGGACACAGUAGCAUGGAAUAAUUAGAUUGGGCUUUUGCUCCAACUUGUUGGUUCCUGGAGCUGAGGUGAGAAUCAAUGGGGAUUGUUGGGGGCAUCCGAAUUUAGCCGUCAGAGGUGAAAUUCUUGGAUCUGCUAAAGACGGACAACUGCGAAGGCGUUUGCCCAGGAUGUUUUCAUUG
RNAcentral lists this ribosomal RNA (380 nucleotides) under uncultured eukaryote. RNAcentral describes it as "partial 18S ribosomal RNA". It matches the Rfam family "Eukaryotic small subunit ribosomal RNA", at positions 592 to 975 of the family's 1831-position model. The record is from RNAcentral.